CGGGCUUUAUACGAUGAUGGACAGAUGCUCAACAGUAACGUAAUCAACCACGUCACCAAAGAGCGCUUGGGUUGAAUUCGUUUCAACAACGAUGGCUGCCGCUGGAGAAUUGAGAUGUGUAGAUUCUGCUAUCAGGUCUGUUCUAGAAGAUAUCGACAUCGAAUUAAUUUUAAAAGAGGAACAGAGUAACGGGAUCAAGGCAUUUGUUGAUAAGAAAUAUGUUUUUGCCGAAGCAACUGAAAUGGCCAUCACGGCGAGGUGGAUAUAGCCAGCGGUCGUUGCCAGAUCCUUUUUUGAAGCCCGGGAUCCUGGCUGCUGAACAACAAGUGGAGGGGCAUGCUAGGCUCCGAUGUUUUUCAAGCCAACGUAAUGGGUAUCGUCGUGGACGAAGUUCAUCUAACUUACAAAUGGUAAGAGAAUCUAACUGUCUGACUUAGUAAAUAACUUCCAAUGUCGUGAUAUGAAUCCCAUGUUGUAAACAUAGUAGGUAUCGUUGUACGUUCGCUAACUCAGACUUGGUACAAUCAUAACGUUAGUGUGAUUGUAGCGAACUAGCUGUUAAAACAUUCUAAUGUAGGUUACUGUUUUAUUUCUAUCAGUGGUCAGGCUGCAAAAGGGCAGACGUCAUUUCGCGACAGCUUCGCCAAGUUGGGGGACCUUAGAUCCUUAGUUAAAGCUGCUAAUUGCAUUACAGGAACUUGUCCACUUCUAAACACUAACCACUCUCCCCCAAAACUGGGAACUGGUUGCCCAUUCAGAUGCAAAUCGUCCAUUCAUUUGGAUGUUGCUUUAUGUACUCAAGCACCAUACCCAUGUUGGUAGUCACUGUACCCCUAUACACCUGUGCUGGCAUUGACCGCUUCUGCUGAUCGGGAAUCCAGAGCCAGGGUUAUGAAACAGCUUCAGAUGGACAAUCCAAUCAUUUUGGCUCUGAAUCCAAACAGAACAAACAUCAGACUGGGUCAAAGUACCUGGCCAUACACUGGAUUGUGAGGGUUGUUAGUACAAAGCUUGACCCAGCAGUUAAGACGGUACUUUAUAAUGGAGUCACUAGUUGUCUGCGGAAAGCUUUGUACUGCCAUUUUGAGGAACACGCCACAUCUGUUGAUCUAGGACAUCUGUGCUGCACUCACUGUCAUUCUGUUUGUUCUUGUGAACCUGAAGGUUGUGGGGAGCUAAUCCCCAAAUAUGAACACUUUCAAGGGGAGGUUUCAUCACACCACAAACACAGAAUAGUCACACCUGAAGGCACACUUUUGAUCAGGGAACUGUUACAAACUUACAGGAGUAGUUUACUUCAGGACCAUACAAACAUACCACUUUACACAGUCGACACAGCCUGCACUGGUUUUGGAGAUGAACUCAUUGAUCGGUUUUAGAACAGUGCACACAGAUAUUUGACCUGGACUUCAUUAUCCAUAAUUUCCCUACAUACAAACUGGAACAUGCAAAAGAGAUACUAUGAAUUAUGCAUGAGGUUUUUGAUGACAUCGAACAGAGUCAAACUAAUUUGUUUGAUGACCGUGUUCAGGUUGACAUGGAUUACACUGUAUCUUAUCAUCCUCAUCAUCAAAGUAACCAAUCAUCACCAAGUAACUUGGAAUCAGGCUUGUCAAUGUUGAAGAUCUCAGACUAGCUUCAAAUUCAGGCUCAAAUUUGUAGCUUCAGGGUCUUGUGCAAAUGCCUUUUUUUUUUACCUCUGUUACAUUAAUAUUUUUGAAUUAAAUUAAAAUGGUUUAUACUUCUCUACUGGUUGGUGAUGUUUCUGCAUUUAAAAGACAAACAAUAAGACAUGUCAAUAAAUAUUUUUAAUAUCUACACAUAAUGGGUAAUGUUUGAAGAUAUACGCUGAACUUUGAACAUACAACCAAUAAGAAAACACACAAAAAUGGUUUCAAGAAUGUGGAU
This is a long non-coding RNA of Alosa sapidissima (American shad), 1908 nucleotides long. RefSeq lists it as uncharacterized. The record is from RefSeq and is a predicted model, not a curated record. The transcript is spliced from 3 exons. NCBI's taxonomy places the organism in Eukaryota, Metazoa, Chordata, Actinopteri, Clupeiformes, Clupeidae.